GCAGCUGUGGUGUAGUGGUUAUCACUUUCGUCUAACAUUUCCUAUCACGGAAUAGUGAACACGAACGGUCCCCGGUUCGAAACCGGGCAGCUGUA
This is a non-coding RNA of Zalaria obscura, 95 nucleotides long. Lineage: Eukaryota; Fungi; Ascomycota; Dothideomycetes; Dothideales; Zalariaceae. The record is from the annotation of a GenBank genome assembly.